UACGGAGGGGGCAAGCGUUAUUCGGAAUUAUUGGGCGUAAAGGGCGCGUAGGCGGCUAGAUGUGUCAAAGGUGAAAUCCCUCGGCUCAACUGAGGAACUGCCUUUGAAACUGUCUGGCUUGAGGCCGGGAGAGGGUAGCGGAAUUCCCAGUGUAGCGGUGAAAUGCGUAGAUAUCAGGAGGAACACCGAUGGCGAAGGCAGGUCACUGGGCCGCAACUGACGCUGAGGAGCGAAAGCAUGGGGAGCGAACAGG
This 253-nucleotide ribosomal RNA is filed under the name uncultured bacterium. RNAcentral describes it as "partial 16S ribosomal RNA". It matches the Rfam family "Bacterial small subunit ribosomal RNA", at positions 524 to 776 of the family's 1533-position model. The record is from RNAcentral.